Penaeus vannamei (Pacific white shrimp) is the source of this 418-nucleotide non-coding RNA. Lineage: Eukaryota; Metazoa; Arthropoda; Malacostraca; Decapoda; Penaeidae. The record is from RefSeq and is a predicted model, not a curated record.
AAAUGUGUCGAUGGCAACACCGCUCGAGGUCGGCCUUGGAGUUGGGUCGGCGACGGAAUCAACGUCUUAUAUUGUGAUUCUCCUUACAUUAUGGCCUUUAUUGCCCGAUGUGGAAUGAGAACGAGAGUGCUGGCGCAACUAAGAAUUGCGCGAUUCUACUCUGUGGAAAACAAGGCCGGUGUUGUGGUUGGUGUUUAUGAUAAUGAUGGCAAGGAGACUCUCAGUGAUGGAGCCCACCAUGUCAACACAGAAUCUUCAGGAAAUCUAAGCCGACUCUUGCAGUAGUCACAGAGUUGUAUACGUGUGGGUGAAGUGAGCGCAGGCGUAACUGAACACCAGACAGGAGCUAUUGCAGGGAGUAGACAACAUGGCUUCCAAUGAGAUACAUCUUGAUGGCCCCAGCACACGCAUGGGAGGG